CCUACGGGAGGCAGCAGUGGGGAAUAUUGCACAAUGGGGGAAACCCUGAUGCAGCGACGCCGCGUGAGUGAAGAAGUAUUUCGGUACGUAAAGCUCUAUCAGCAGGGAAGAAAAUGAUGGUAUCUGACUAAGAAGUGACGGCUAACUACGUGCCAGCAGCCGCGGUAAUACGUAGGGGGCAAGCGUUAUGCGGAUUUACUGGGUGUAAAGGGAGCGUAGACGGCAGCGCAAGUCUGGAGUGAAAUCCCAUGGCUUAACCAGGGAACUGCUUUGGAAACUGUGCAGCUAGAGUGCAGGAGAGGUAGGCGGAAUUCCUAGUGUAGCGGUGAAAUGCGUAGAUAUUAGGAGGAACACCAGUGGCGAAGGCGGCUUACUGGACUGUAACUGACGUUGAGGCUCGAAAGCGUGGGGAGCAAACAGGAUUAGAUACCCCGGUAGUC
Molecule: ribosomal RNA, 440 nt
Filed under: uncultured bacterium
Lineage: Bacteria
Description: partial 16S ribosomal RNA
Rfam family: Bacterial small subunit ribosomal RNA
Source: RNAcentral